CCCUUAGAUGUUCUGGGCCGCACGCGCGCUACACUGAUGCAUUCAACGAGUUCCUACCUUGGCCGAGAGGCCUGGGCAAUCUUUUGAACUUGCAUCGUGAUAGGGAUAGAUUAUUGCAAUUAUUAAUCUUGAACGAGGAAUUCCUAGUAAACGCAGAUCAUCAAUCUGCAUUGAUUACGUCCCUGCUCUUUGUACACACCGCCCGUCGCACCUACCGAUUGAAUGGUCCGGUGAAGCCUCGGGAUUGUGGUUAGUUUCCUUCAUUGGAAGUUAGCCGCGAGAACUUGUCUAAACCUUAUCAUUUAGAGGAAGGUGAAGUCGUAACA
RNAcentral lists this ribosomal RNA (326 nucleotides) under uncultured eukaryote. RNAcentral describes it as "partial 18S ribosomal RNA". It matches the Rfam family "Eukaryotic small subunit ribosomal RNA", at positions 1470 to 1796 of the family's 1831-position model. The record is from RNAcentral.